AUUGAACGCUGGCGGCAGGCUUAACACAUGCAAGUCGAGCGGGGGAAGGUAGCUUGCUACUGGACCUAGCGGCGGACGGGUGAGUAAUGCUUAGGAAUCUGCCUAUUAGUGGGGGACAACAUCUCGAAAGGGGUGCUAAUACCGCAUACGUCCUACGGGAGAAAGCAGGGGAUCUUCGGACCUUGCGCUAAUAGAUGAGCCUAAGUCGGAUUAGCUAGUUGGUGGGGUAAAGGCCUACCAAGGCGACGAUCUGUAGCGGGUCUGAGAGGAUGAUCCGCCACACUGGGACUGGGACACGGCCCAGACUCCUACGGGAGGCAGCAGUGGGGAAUAUUGGACAAAGGGGGGAACCCUGAUCCAGCCAUGCCGCGUGUGUGAAGAAGGCCUUAUGGUUGUAAAGCACUUUAAGCGAGGAGGAGGCUACUUUAGUUAAUACCUAGAGAUAGUGGACGUUACUCGCAGAAUAAGCACCGGCUAACUCUGUGCCAGCCGCCGCCGUAA
This 501-nucleotide ribosomal RNA is filed under the name uncultured bacterium. Its description in RNAcentral is "partial 16S ribosomal RNA". It matches the Rfam family "Bacterial small subunit ribosomal RNA", at positions 30 to 523 of the family's 1533-position model. The record is from RNAcentral.